GAUGAACGCUGGCGGCGUGCCUAAUACAUGCAAGUCGAGCGAACGGACGAGAAGCUUGCUUCUCUGAUGUUAGCGGCGGACGGGUGAGUAACACGUGGAUAACCUACCUAUAAGACUGGGAUAACUUCGGGAAACCGGAGCUAAUACCGGAUAAUAUUUUGAACCGCAUGGUUCAAAAGUGAAAGACGGUCUUGCUGUCACUUAUAGAUGGAUCCGCGCUGCAUUAGCUAGUUGGUAAGGUAACGGCUUACCAAGGCAACGAUGCAUAGCCGACCUGAGAGGGGGAUAGGCCACACUGGAACUGAAACACGGUCCAGACUCCUACGGGAGGCAGCAGUAGGGAAUCUUCCGCAAUGGGCGAAAGCCUGACGGAGCAACGCCGCGUGAGUGAUGAAGGUCUUCGGAUCGUAAAACUCUGUUAUUAGGGAAGAAUAUAUGUGUAAGUAACUGUGCACAUCUUGACGGUACCUAAUCAGAAAGCAACGGCUAACUACGUG
This 497-nucleotide ribosomal RNA is filed under the name uncultured bacterium. Its description in RNAcentral is "partial 16S ribosomal RNA". It matches the Rfam family "Bacterial small subunit ribosomal RNA", at positions 28 to 507 of the family's 1533-position model. The record is from RNAcentral.